CCAGUUGGCUGGGCAGCCGCGCUUCAUCAAUGCCGAAAGGCGAUGGGGUGAGGAAAGUCCGGGCUCCACGGAAACACGGUGCCGGAUAACGUCCGGCGGGGGCAACCUCAGGGAAAGUGCCACAGAAAGCAAACCGCCUGAUUUUCGGAUCGGGUAAGGGUGAAAGGGUGGGGUAAGAGCCCACCGCGUCUCUGGCAACAGCGACGGCACGGAAAACCCCACCGGGAGCAAAACCGAAUAGGGAUGACACGGAGCGCGCAAGCGCUCCAGCCCGUUUCCGGGCCGGUCAUCCGGGUGGGUUGCAUGAGGCGUCGCGCAAGCGCCGUCCCAGAUGAAUGGCUGCCACGUUCCGGCCUUGGCCGGAGCCAUACAGAACCCGGCUUACAGGCCAACUGGCAAA
RNAcentral lists this RNase P RNA (400 nucleotides) under Martinezella tropici. Its description in RNAcentral is "Rhizobium tropici RNase P RNA component class A". It matches the Rfam family "Bacterial RNase P class A". Rfam says of the family: Ribonuclease P (RNase P) is a ubiquitous endoribonuclease, found in archaea, bacteria and eukarya as well as chloroplasts and mitochondria. Its best characterised activity is the generation of mature 5'-ends of tRNAs by cleaving the 5'-leader elements of precursor-tRNAs. Cellular RNase Ps are ribonucleoproteins. The record is from RNAcentral. RNAcentral also lists the same sequence under 1 other name. Lineage: Bacteria; Pseudomonadati; Pseudomonadota; Alphaproteobacteria; Hyphomicrobiales; Rhizobiaceae.